RNAcentral lists this long non-coding RNA (304 nucleotides) under Capra hircus (goat). RNAcentral's name for it is "lncRNA (ENSCHIG00000004343.1)". Lineage: Eukaryota; Metazoa; Chordata; Mammalia; Artiodactyla; Bovidae. The record is from RNAcentral.
CCCAGCAUGAAGUGGGUAGACAUAGAAAAAUGAUUGCAAUGAAAUGGCCUGGGAUAUAAACCAAGCUUCACAUGUGAUGUCAUUUCUAGUGCAGCAUCUUGCAAAAAACUAUGUUAGAUAUCACCAGAAUGUGCAUCCCAGGAUCUUCAAAAAGCCAGACAAGAGGAAGGAAUUAGGAAUGUAAGUUAUUCCUGGUUUUAUAAUACAAAUGACUUACUGAGAACAAGCUAGCUCAGUAAAUGGUAUUUGAACACAAAGUGAGAUAAGUCUGUGAAAGUGUCUGCACCAAGUAAAUAUAGAGUGA